UUUGGGAAUAGCUUUGCAAAGCCCUUUGGACCUCUAAAGGCCCUUGGGCAAAUGCUAGAGCAUCUGGCUGGUAUUUUUGAGAGUCCAUUUUCCAAAUGCUAGCUUUUUCAAGGCCUUCAGUAGGCCUUUUAGCCCAAGACUCCCUCACACGUGCUUCCAACUUUCUGGCUUUCUCGGCAUGCAACAGUGCCGAAUUAAUGAAUUUUUUGAAUUUCCACUAUUACCCUCACUUAUUGAUCUUAAUUCCAUAUUUACCCUUUUGAACAUAAAUACCCUUUGAUUUGACGCUCUCUCUUCCCUUGCUCUUUUCGCUCGCACGCUCACCUAACGAAGCCCAGCUCGCUCACCAUUCUUCGUUCGCCUCACAAGUGUGACAUCGCUCACUUGGUCGCCUCCGGUCGAUGGUUGUCACCGAUCGCCUCAUCAACGGUGGCACCGUCCCUCCAGAUCUAUUGUCAUAAGGCUCGCCGAGGUCGUGGGGCCCCGCUUGGGGUCCGGCGACCUCGGAGUGCUCACCCGGGCUCCGAAGUAAUCCCUAGAAAUCUUCUUCAUCCCAAAUCCAAUGACCAUGGAAGCAAUGAAGAAAUGGAAUGUCACCUGAAGCCCCUGAAGCUGAAGCACAAGGCCUAUUGGGAUGGCCUCCUCUCUCUCCGGAACUCGAUUAGAAAGAGGCUAAAAGUACUGUCACUUGAAGACAAAUUGACAGUCUUGGGAUGUAAGUAUGCCCCUUAUCAUGCUUUCAUUAGAUUCACUAUAUUAACUCCGUCAACAGGUGUAAUUGAAACAUUACCUAUGCACAUAUUAUUUAUUAGUGGAAUAUGAGGAAGUUAAUCUGUCUAGCAUGUGGCUAAGAAACUAGCUAGAUCAUGCUUCUUGACAUUGUUGCACUUAGAGGUAGAGGAUUUAUGAGCGAGCGUAAGAGAUAUAUGCUUGCCGUGGUUUUGCUGACAUGGUUCGUUGAUUUUGGCAGAGUUAGAUAUGUUGUCUCUUCUGCUAAGUUUUGCGUAGCUUUCAAUGCCAUAAUGGUGUAUAUUGGCGUUUCUAGUAUAGCUGAUAAUCAUUUUGAUGUACUUAGGAUCCAAUUGGUCACUUCUUCUCCUCCCUAUAUAUGCCCUGUCAAAACUAAAUUGAAUGUUUCCCAUUGUUUUCCUGCUUAUGGACCAUUGGCAUUGUAAUCAAUAUCGGUAUAAAUUUCAACAAUGGA
This is a long non-coding RNA of Rhodamnia argentea, 1204 nucleotides long. RefSeq lists it as uncharacterized. The record is from RefSeq and is a predicted model, not a curated record. NCBI's taxonomy places the organism in Eukaryota, Viridiplantae, Streptophyta, Magnoliopsida, Myrtales, Myrtaceae. The transcript is spliced from 3 exons.